UGGGGAAUAUUGGACAAUGGGCGCAAGCCUGAUCCAGCCAUGUCGCGUGAAGGAUGAAGUAUUUCGGUAUGUAAACUUCGAAAGAAUAGGAAGAAUAAAUGACGGUACUAUUUAUAAGGUCCGGCUAACUACGUGCCGGCAGCCGCGGUAAUACGUAGGGACCAAGCGUUGUUCGGAUUUACUGGGCGUAAAGGGCGCGUAGGCGGCAAUUCAAGUCAUCUGUGAAAUCUCCGGGCUUAACUCGGAACGGUCAGAUGAUACUGCUUUGCUAGAGUGCAGAAGGGGCAAUCGGAAUUCUUGGUGUAGCGGUGAAAUGCGUAGAUAUCAAGAGGAACACCUGAGGUGAAGACGGGUUGCUGGGCUGACACUGACGCUGAGGCGCGAAAGCCAGGGGAGCAAACGGGAUUAGAUACCCCCGUAGUCCCUGAGCGGGCUGGCAAGGCGCAU
This 447-nucleotide ribosomal RNA is filed under the name uncultured bacterium. Its description in RNAcentral is "bacterial SSU rRNA". It matches the Rfam family "Bacterial small subunit ribosomal RNA", at positions 355 to 825 of the family's 1533-position model. The record is from RNAcentral.